Long non-coding RNA from Heterocephalus glaber (naked mole-rat), 1612 nucleotides. RefSeq lists it as uncharacterized. The record is from RefSeq and is a predicted model, not a curated record. NCBI's taxonomy places the organism in Eukaryota, Metazoa, Chordata, Mammalia, Rodentia, Bathyergidae.
UUGAUUAAUUGUCAACGUGAGUGGGAACGCCUGGCUGACUUGAGUCAGCGUGGUUCUGGGCGGGAAGACCCACUUUUAGGAGGAUUGUUGUCCAAAUGGUACAAAAGGAGAAGGGCGGGAAGGCUUUCAGCUGACUUCCCUUGUAGGCGCUUUGGCUGUUCCCUUCCGGAAGCUCUGCUUUUCGCCUGCCUUGGGCUUUGUCUCCUGGCUUUCGGUGCAGAUUCCUCAGCUUCCAGCACCGACCUUUCGGCUGCCGCAGACUGACUUCUAGAGCUGACCCUUCGACCUCCGGCACAGGCCCCUCUGUCUUCUGUCACGGAUCCUUCGGCCUCCUGAUGCAGACUCGUUACGGGACAUUGCUGCGGACUCCCGGCCUUUGGCUGGACCCCUGGGAUCUGUAGCGCCUGGACGAUCUUUGGCUCGCUUCUACUUUUGACCCUGGGCGGCUGUUGUAGGCGAGUCUCGUGGGUUUCCGUGUCCGGCAUUAAAUCUGAUGCAGAGCAUGUGCAGUCUUUUCAGGAGCCUCGCCCCAGCCCUGCAAGCUCUGAACCAAUUAGCUUGAUGUUGAGUGAAAUAGUAGGCACCAGCAGAUGAAAAGGCCGGUCCAGGGUGACAACGAGAACCCCAGGGAGCGGUGAACCCAGCACAUGCCACACAGCUAUGAGGACAGAGAUGGAUCUGAACUCCUGACUCUUGAACUCAGAAAUUCCCCUCCUUUUGCUGCCAGCAGUGCAAAUGUCCCCAGUCUGCUAGGAGGACACCUAUUGGCCACAUCAGGGCCACAGUGCAGCUGUGUGGGACACCACUUGCAGAAUUGCUGCUGUAACAUGAAGUUGAAUUUCACCUUUGGGAAAGAGAUGACACGUGUGUGAAAAGCAUUUAACUCCUGGACACUUGGGACUGGAAAUCACAUGGAUCACAAUGACACACUGAAACACUUGGCCUUAGGGGGGAAAAUGUGUUGUUUAUUAUAGAAAUGAAAAGCUGAAAUGUACUGUCCUGUGACACAGGAUUUGAUGGUAUUUUAAAUUGUUACAAAAGAAAGGAAGGAAAGAGAGGGGGAUGCUAAUAUUUGUAGCACAGUAAGAAUGUUUGUAGCCAGAGAUGAAUUAUGAACACUUAAAUUAGAAUUUCCUGCUCUGAAGCCAGGCAUGGUGGCAAUGCCUGUAAUCUCAGCAUUCUGGGAGGCUGAGGCUGGAGGAUCACAAGUCUGAGCCCAGCCUGGGCAUCUUAGCAAUUUAGGGAGACCCUGUCUAUUAUAGUUUAUAUAUAGAUGUCCCCCCAAAGCCUCAUGUCCUCACAGGUGGGGGUUGGGAAGGUGAUUGGAUCAUGGGUAUGUGAUACUUAUUAGUGAAUUAGUCCACUGAUGUGUUUAUAGCUAAAUGUGAUGUUGAGAGUCGAAGCCUGAUCGAAGGAGGUGGAUCACUGGGGCCUUGGCCUAGAAGGAUCUAACUCUCUCCUCCUCCCUUGAUCCCUUUCUGCUUCCUGCCUACCCUGCUAUGGACUGUUUCUUCUCUGCCAUGCCACUUUGCUUUGGAGCCAGUCAACUAAGGACUGACACUUCUACAAACUGUGAGCCAAAAUCAACCUCUCCUCCUUAACUUCUGAGUGU